GACGAACGCUGGCGGCGUGCCUAAUACAUGCAAGUAGAACGCUGAAGGAGGAGCUUGCUCUUCUGGAUGAGUUGCGAACGGGUGAGUAACGCGUAGGUAACCUGCCUGGUAGCGGGGGAUAACUAUUGGAAACGAUAGCUAGUACCGCAUAAGAGUAGAUGUUGCAUGACAUUUACUUAAAAGGUGCAAUUGCAUCACUACCAGAUGGACCUGCGUUGUAUUAGCUAGUUGGUGGGGUAACGGCUCACCAAGGCGACGAUACAUAGCCGACCUGAGAGGGUGAUCGGCCACACUGGGACUGAGACACGGCCCAGACUCCUACGGGAGGCAGCAGUAGGGAAUCUUCGGCAAUGGACGGAAGUCUGACCGAGCAACGCCGCGUGAGUGAAGAAGGUUUUCGGAUCGUAAAGCUCUGUUGUAAGAGAACAACGAGUGUGAGAGUGGAAAGUUC
RNAcentral lists this ribosomal RNA (451 nucleotides) under Streptococcus mitis. RNAcentral's name for it is "bacterial SSU rRNA". It matches the Rfam family "Bacterial small subunit ribosomal RNA", at positions 28 to 465 of the family's 1533-position model. The record is from RNAcentral. Lineage: Bacteria; Bacillati; Bacillota; Bacilli; Lactobacillales; Streptococcaceae.